This is a long non-coding RNA of Mauremys reevesii (Reeves's turtle), 844 nucleotides long. RefSeq lists it as uncharacterized. Lineage: Eukaryota; Metazoa; Chordata; Testudines; Geoemydidae. The transcript has 5 exons. The record is from RefSeq and is a predicted model, not a curated record.
CGGGUUUAAGGGAGUGGAAUAAUGAGUGGAACUGCCAGUUUCAAUGAGUAAGGUAUUUAGAGGAAAAAGGCUGCCGCAGGAUCUCUUUUAUGAUACCAAUAGGCACGUGAUUGGGAAGACAUAAAACGGGAUUUAACUGAUUUCAUAGCGUGUUGGAUAUUAUCCAGUAUGAAUCGUUAGCCCCAUAACAAGAAGAAAUGUUGGUCUUCAGAGUGGCACAAAAAGAAAAUAUGUGUUUCAUAAGCCUGACAGCGAAAGUUUCCCCAUUUCCCUUCUAACAGAAAGCAUUUGUCUGUUUAGAUUCUUUUCAACAAACACUCCUAAUACAAAUGACAAAACCAAGGGAUGCAGAGAGAAAAUUUCUAGACACCGUAGAUGACUGUUUCUUGAAGCAGCUUGUCCUGGAACCCACAAGGGAAGAGGCAAGUCUUCCUAAAUGCAGCACAGUAUGAAUCAAAGAGACAUUGACAGUUACUUUUUGAGCAAUAACAUUUGAAAAUGUAUCAGUGGAAAAGGACAAAAAUGAUACUGAAGAGGAUACACACCUUGAAAAUGCUUUGCUAAUGGAUGAUUUCUAAAUCAUUUCCAUAGUCACCAAAACUUGUACCUAUAAAUGGUCUGAGAUAUAAAUGCUUUAAGAAUAUUUUCUACAGCUUGGAGUGGCAAUAUGAUGGCCAGACAUGUUCACUGUGUAGCUAUGGAAAUUUUUGUACUAAUACUUCAGAUCCAAAGGCAGAGACAUGACAGGAGACAAAUGUUACAUCCUGUACUUACCCACAAUUAAAAAAAAAUGUUUGAAAGUUCCAUGAUUUUAAUUGAGUCAGUGGACAGUUUAAAAAAAUUC